GUGAGAUCCAUGGCUCAGUAUUGAAUGGGAGGUUCCCGAAUCUGCUUCUCCUCAAGGCCUCUGUGCUCUCCUCGGAGCUGAGUGUGUGGACUGUGCAGCUCAUCGGAUGUGCACACACACACACGGGUGCUCAUGGGCACACUUCCAAGUUGAACAGGCUCUCACCAGGGCACUUGGGCGCAGCCACAAAUGCUUCAGUUCCAAAAUGCAAAGGAUGAAGAAAUCAGAAAAGUCCCCAAUGCCACCGGCCACCUUUAGGGAGAGCCUGGCUGUCCAGACAAGAUGCAGGUCAGGUGCAUAGCAGUGGGGUAGUGCUGUGUGUUGAGGGCAUCUGCGUAGCUCUAGCUGGCUGCUCCCAAAAACCAGACCCUCCAUCGAGCUCGAUUGAACCCCCCCAGUGACUCGGAGGAGGCUCGGGCUCCUGUCACACAGACCCUCCGUUGAGCUCGAUUGAACCUCUCCAGUGACUCAGAGGAGGCUUGGGAUCCUGUCACUCAGACCCUCCGUUGAGCUCGAUUGAACCCCUCCAGUGACUCAGAGGAGGCUUGGGCUCCUGUCACACAGAGUCUGGCACUUUCCUGUAAGCAUCAACAUCAGCAGAACACGAUCAUGGCUCAGUCUCUGAGCAGAAUUCUGAUGAUCCUGCAACCCCAACUGGACUCUUCUAAACUAGCAAGCUCUCUGUCCCAGGAGCACUUGGAGAGGCUGCCCUGCUCCACCUCACUUCUGAACGGCCGGCUGGAGCCACACAGACGCACACUGGUUUGGACACGUGCACACGCACUCCCCAACUCCUCUCACCUCUGGGUCCUCCCCUCCAGCCUUAGGCCCAGGGCUCACUCCUUAGUGCCCCCCACACCUCAUGAGCAGGCCUAGUUCAUUGUCUCCAAGACAUUCUGCAAAGGCCUCACUACCCCCGAAGGUCUAAGGAGUUCCUACUGACUUAGGGUCUACAGGGUUCAAAAUGCUCUGAGCAGACUGAGAAACCAAAGACCAGUUCCAAAUAAGACUUAUCCUGAGGAGCACCAGGAGUGCCCAUCAUCAAUUCACAAAAUCCUAAACCUCCAAAUGGAGGGGACGUGACAUGUUACCUCACCCUCGAUGAACGCCCUCUACACAAAUACCCUAGCCAGUCUUGACUCCUUUUGACAUGACCCUGUUGUGGGAGCUGCAAAGACCAUCAUGGAUCCCACAAACAGGCAUGGCGCUGGGCAAGACGGCCAUGGAUCCCACAGACAGGGAUGGCACCAGGUAGCCCAUGGUGCAUGGCGGGAAAGGGGAGGGCAAAGCAGGGCAGGGAUUAGAGAGUGCAGAGGCCCAGCUUUAGGAAGCUGGUUGAAGCCUGCAAAGAGUUAACGGCAUUCCACUGGGUCUGGGAGGAUAAACGUGGUUUGGAUAGAGACACAGGAGCAGCAGGAGCGAAGGGCCCACAAGGGAAGGACCUCGGUAUUUAACAGAAGCAUUGGACAGAGAAGUCUGGUGAAAUGGACGGAAGGCUAGAGAGGCAGCUGGGAUUAACUCACAGAGGCCUGGACUGUCCCAGCCAGGGGGUAAGAUUGUGCUCUUUAGAUGGGCGCUGGAGGGUGAAGUGUCCUGUGCUUUAGCAAAAUCCCUCUCUUGAUAGCUCAGAUGGAGGAGAGGACAAGCCCUGCAUGGAGGACAGUCAACCAGGAAGCAACUGAGAGGAAAUGGAACGGAGGCGGAGGAUCCAAAGACAGGAGGAGGGAUGGCAGUGCCUGCUCCCUGAUCAGCCAGGCUGGGGAGAGGGCAGCACGCCCCAAAUGAAGGGCACGUGAGGCUGGGUGACAAGAAGAAGGCUGCUGGUGGUCAGAGACACUGGGCUAUCAGGGGAAUUCUAACAGGUGGGAGAAAAUGCACAGCUCGGCGUGGGGCAGCUUGAGAGGUAACAUUCGAGAGGCCAGGAGGCAUUAGCUCGUGGCAGCUGCACUUUUCUCUGCCUUUGAUCAUCGCCUGUCUGGGCACCUGGCUGUCACUGACUGGAAGGAGAAAAGGCCAGGGCCGGGUGGCAUUUGCUCCCCCUCCCAUGGUCAGAGGUGGCCAGUGGCCUAAUGAAUUAGGGUGAGUGAAGG
Molecule: long non-coding RNA, 2090 nt
Filed under: Homo sapiens (human)
Lineage: Eukaryota; Metazoa; Chordata; Mammalia; Primates; Hominidae
Description: HSALNT0116722
Source: RNAcentral